This 939-nucleotide long non-coding RNA is filed under the name Homo sapiens (human). RNAcentral describes it as "HSALNT0305385". The record is from RNAcentral. Lineage: Eukaryota; Metazoa; Chordata; Mammalia; Primates; Hominidae.
ACCGGGCUUUAAAGGAACGCCAAACAAAGCGGGCGCCAGGAGGGGGCUUCCCAGGUGAGCCCGAGACGGGAUCGAAACUCCUCUCCAGUCCACGAAAACGCCCAAGAAUAAGUUGUAGAUGUCCCAUCUCUAAAAAUACUCUUGACUAUUGGAAACGUGGGCACCAGUACACACAGCUGAUGAGCUGCUCUAAGCCAGGGCUUGCUUCCAGCAACUCCCCUCACACCAAAUGAAGAGGGUUUUGUUAUGUUGGUUGUUGUUAGUGAAAGGUUUCUGUUUUGUUUUUUGUUUUGUUUUUGUUUGUUUUUAAACACUCUUGUUGGGUCUUCUACAUCCUAUAUUAUCUUCCUAGGAGAAAGGUUAAUUUUCAUUUCAAAAAUGCGUGUGCUGCUGCACAAAACUCAUAGUGCUUCAUCCUAAAGAUUUUUUUAUGUCCAAAUAUUAAAAUACUAUAAUGAUGCUUUAAUGGAAUAAAAUGUUUGUCCAAUUAACCACUUCUUUGCUAUUUGUUAGAAUCUCUAGGAACAUAGGCCAGUUCCUUAAUGUAGUGUUUGUCCUAAGCCAUUAAAUACUCCAUCUUAAUUUUAUUACAUUAAGAUAUUCAAAAUUAUCUUCUUCAAAUCUUUGUGUCAUGUUUCUUUAUUAGCUUGACUCACAUCAACUGAGUCUCAGCAAGAAAUAAGUUGACAGAUGUUAGACAACUUGAAGGGGAGUUAUUUGUUUUUAAAAAGAUUAAAUAUUCCUGUCUAAUUUAUUUUUAAAUCUCUCUCUCUCUCUCUGUUUUACUGUACUUGGACAGGGUAGGGCUGGAAAAGAAAGCCACGUCCUCCUUUACUGUAUCAGCAGUGAAUUUGCACCACCUUCUGGUAGGUUAGAGAAUGACGAAAACACCCGCUGCUUCCAUAAAAGAAUUCUUUUAUUCACUGUGGUCUGUUGUCC